GCCCAGGUAGCUCAGUGGUAGAGCACCUCCUUGGUAAGGAGGAGGUCGUGAGUUCAAAUCUCAUCCUGGGCUCCA
This 75-nucleotide transfer RNA is filed under the name Polyangiaceae bacterium LLY-WYZ-14_1. Its description in RNAcentral is "tRNA-Thr". It matches the Rfam family "tRNA". Rfam says of the family: Transfer RNA (tRNA) molecules are approximately 80 nucleotides in length. Their secondary structure includes four short double-helical elements and three loops (D, anti-codon, and T loops). Lineage: Bacteria; Pseudomonadati; Myxococcota; Polyangiales; Polyangiaceae. The record is from RNAcentral.